UUAGGUGGCCAUGGCGACGGGGCCCACCCCUUACCAUUCCGAACAGGGAAGUUAAGCCCGUCUGCGCCGAUGGUACUGC
RNAcentral lists this ribosomal RNA (79 nucleotides) under Arenibacter sp. 6A1. Lineage: Bacteria; Pseudomonadati; Bacteroidota; Flavobacteriia; Flavobacteriales; Flavobacteriaceae. The record is from RNAcentral.